UAGGGAGACCUGCUAGAUUUCCACCGAAACCCAAAAAUUAAUCGGGGAAAUCAGCUAUCCCAAGGUCGUUACGAGACCGGAUAAUUUCUGGCUUUCAAACUCUUUGUUCGGUUCAGUAUAAUAAAAUACAGCACCUAAUCUGAAGUCAUCACUGACCAGAAAGACUGCUGGAUUUUAACCAGCAAUGGACCUUGAAAACUGCAUAAAGAAAAGAAUCAAAGGUAAAACUUUUCAAUUGACCUCUGUUAAAAGAGAUUAAUUGAAAAGCUGUCCAAAAAAAGAAGCCCAAAUUGU
This 294-nucleotide unclassified non-coding RNA is filed under the name Kamptonema animale CCALA 138. RNAcentral's name for it is "partial 16S-23S ribosomal RNA intergenic spacer". Lineage: Bacteria; Bacillati; Cyanobacteriota; Cyanophyceae; Oscillatoriales; Microcoleaceae. The record is from RNAcentral.